This 253-nucleotide ribosomal RNA is filed under the name uncultured bacterium. RNAcentral's name for it is "partial 16S ribosomal RNA". It matches the Rfam family "Bacterial small subunit ribosomal RNA", at positions 524 to 776 of the family's 1533-position model. The record is from RNAcentral.
UACGUAGGGUGCAAGCGUUGUCCGGAAUUAUUGGGCGUAAAGAGCUCGUAGGCGGUCUGUCGCGUCUGCUGUGAAAACUCAGGGCUUAACCCUGAGCUUGCAGUGGGUACGGGCAGGCUAGAGUGCGGUAGGGGAGACUGGAAUUCCUGGUGUAGCGGUGAAAUGCGCAGAUAUCAGGAGGAACACCGGUGGCGAAGGCGGGUCUCUGGGCCGUAACUGACGCUGAGGAGCGAAAGCGUGGGGAGCGAACAGG